UAAGCUUAGUAGUAAGAAUAACUAGAUGAAGAGCUAAUUUUUUUUUUUUUUUUUUGAAACAAGACGAAGAACUAAUUAAAUCCCCCUAAUAACAAUUUAAACUAGCAAUACUUAUAUCAACCUUAUGACAAACCUAAAUGUAACAGAGAGAUUACUCACACAUAUUCAUAAAAGACAUGGUUAUGAUGGUCUAAAUAAUACAUCAAUUGAUAGAUAAACAAAAUAGAGUAAAGAAACAAAGGGAGUUCAAGAUCUUCCCUCUCUCAAGGUGUACAGAUCUCUCUCUCCAAUCCUAAGCUCUCUCUCUCUCUAAAAUAGUAUGAAGCAUAGCUGUCAGCAAUGGCUUAGAAAAUAGUAAAAUAGGAUUUUUGGUCAUCCAGGGGUAUAUUGGUAAUAUGUGGUUACUUCUGGGCCUAAAUUGGUCAUAAAAUAUGCUUGGGCCGCAUUCUGGCAUUCAUAUCGAUCGAUGUCAAGAGUUCUGCAUCGAUCGACAUACGUUCCUAUUCUCAACAGCUUCCUCUCGCGAGGCAGACUGACCAAUCUUCAGUAAAACAGGCAUAACGUCUGCAACAGUAUACUGAUUGACCUCAAACUGGUGGUGUUAAAAAGCUAACGCAAACCUUUAUCUUGUGUCAAAAGAUGAGCUCAAUCUAACGGUGGGAACGUCUCCAUCCAUAGCUAAACAUCUGAUGCGUCUGUGCAGUUCUGCACCUCAAAAUGCUCCAAAAUCACCAUAUUUCUCC
This 743-nucleotide long non-coding RNA is filed under the name Brassica napus (rape). Its description in RNAcentral is "long non-coding RNA (BNAP_LNC004024)". The record is from RNAcentral. Lineage: Eukaryota; Viridiplantae; Streptophyta; Magnoliopsida; Brassicales; Brassicaceae.